RNAcentral lists this ribosomal RNA (1409 nucleotides) under uncultured Rhizaria. Its description in RNAcentral is "SSU rRNA". It matches the Rfam family "Eukaryotic small subunit ribosomal RNA", at positions 384 to 1804 of the family's 1831-position model. The record is from RNAcentral.
CGGAGAGGUAGCAUGAGGAACGGCUACCACUUCUAAGGAAGGCAGCAGGCGCGCAAAUUACCCAAUCCUGACUCAGGGAGGUAGUGACAAGAAAUAACAAUAAACCGGCUUAUGCCGGUUUAAUUGGAAUGAGUACAAUUUAAACAUCUUAACGAGGAACAAUUGGAGGGCAAGUCUGGUGCCAGCAGCCGCGGUAAUUCCAGCUCCAAUAGCGUAUACUAAAGUUGUUGCAGUUAAAAAGCUCGUAGUUGGAUUUCUGCGGGGACGGAGCGGCCGGACGCAACUUGCGUCCCGAGCUAGCGCUUUCCCCGCAUCCUGCCGCGAACCGUGCUACCAUUAGUUUGGUGGCGCCGGGGAUCGGCUCGAUUACUCUGAGAAAAAUAGAGUGUUCAAAGCAGGCCACACGCCUUGAAUAAGUUAGCAUGGAAUAAUGACUAAGGACUUUGGUUCUUUUCGUUGGUGUUCGGGACUGAAGUAAUGAUUGAUAGGGACAGUUGGGGCGGUCCGUAUUCCAAAGCGAGAGGUGAAAUUCUUAGACCUUCGGAAGACGAACAGCUGCGAAAGCGUUCCGCAAGGAUGUUCCCUUUGAUCAAGAACGAAAGUUGGGGGAUCGAAGACGAUCAGAUACCGUCGUAGUCUCAACUAUAAACUAUACCAGCUAGGGAUCGGCCAACGUUUAACUUUAUCGACUUGGUCGGCACCUUAUGAGAAAUCAAAGCAUCUGGGUUCCGGGGGGAGUAUGGUCGCAAGGCUGAAACUUAAAGGAAUUGACGGAAGGGCACCACCAGCCGUGGAGCCUGUGGCUUAAUUUGACUCAACACGGGAAAACUUACCAGGUCCAGACAUAGGAAGGAUUGACAGAUUGAUAGCUCUUUCUUGACUCUGUGGGUGGUGGUGCAUGGCCGUUUUUAGUCGGUGGAUGUGAUCUGUCUGCUUAAUUGCGUUAACGGACGAGACCCCAGCCUGCUAAAUAGCGCGGCCGAGCUUUGCUCGGUGCGAGCUUCUUAGAGGGACCAUGAUGCGCGAUAGCACAAGGAAGUUUGGGGCAACAACAGGUCUGUGAUGCCCUUAGAUGUUCUGGGCCGCACACGGGCUACACUGGCGCCUGCAACGAGCAUAUCAGCUGGCCCGAGAGGGUCUUGGCUAAUCUUUGGAACCGGCGCCGUGCUUGGGAUUGACCAUUGCAAUUGUUGGUCAUGCAACGAGGAAUGCCUUGUAAACGCGAGUCAUCAGCUCGCAUUGAAUACGUCCCUGCCCUUUGUACACACCGCCCGUCGCUCCUACCGAUGAAUGUUCCGAUGAAAUUUUCGGAGAGCACCAGAGAACGGGGCUUCGCCUUGCAGAACUGGAGGCUCAAAGUCACUUAAAUCUGAACAUUUCGAGGAAGGAGAAGUCGUAACAAGGUAACC